RNAcentral lists this ribosomal RNA (492 nucleotides) under uncultured bacterium. RNAcentral describes it as "partial 16S ribosomal RNA". It matches the Rfam family "Bacterial small subunit ribosomal RNA", at positions 29 to 507 of the family's 1533-position model. The record is from RNAcentral.
AGUGAACGCUGGCGGUAGGCCUAACACAUGCAAGUCGAACGGCAGCACAGUAAGAGCUUGCUCUUACGGGUGGCGAGUGGCGGACGGGUGAGGAAUACAUCGGAAUCUACUUUUUCGUGGGGGAUAACGUAGGGAAACUUACGCUAAUACCGCAUACGACCUACGGGUGAAAGCAGGGGAUCUUCGGACCUUGCGCGAUUGAAGGAGCCGAUGUCGGAUUAGCUAGUUGGCGGGGUAAAGGCCCACCAAGGCGACGAUCCGUAGCUGGUCUGAAAGGAUGAUCAGCCACACUGGAACUGAGACACGGUCCAGACUCCUACGGGAGGCAGCAGUGGGGAAUAUUGGACAAUGGGCGCAAGCCUGAUCCAGCCAUACCGCGUGGGUGAAGAAGGCCUUCGGGUUGUAAAGCCCUUUUGUUGGGAAAGAAAAGCAGCAGGUUAAUACCCCGCUGUUCUGACGGUACCCAAAGAAUAAGCACCGGCUAACUUCGUG